RNAcentral lists this transfer RNA (73 nucleotides) under Dichelobacter nodosus VCS1703A. It matches the Rfam family "tRNA". From Rfam's summary of the family: Transfer RNA (tRNA) molecules are approximately 80 nucleotides in length. RNAcentral also lists the same sequence under 1 other name. The record is from Rfam by way of RNAcentral. Lineage: Bacteria; Pseudomonadati; Pseudomonadota; Gammaproteobacteria; Cardiobacteriales; Cardiobacteriaceae.
GGAUGCUUAGCUCAGUUGGUAGAGCAACGCCCUUACAAGGCGUGGGUCAUAGGUUCGAGUCCUAUAGCAUCCA